GCUAAGAAAAGUGGAGUUUUUGGGUAUCGUUUUCUAACAUUUGGAAGAAAGAACAACAAUAUUGAUUUAUCCUAUUCAGUAGUUGUUUAUUUAAUUUAUAUGAUUGGACAUUCCAGAAGCAUCGAAACAGCUUUAUCACUGUGGAAGACUUCGAUUUUCUGUACAGACAUGGUAUAAAUGCUGUGAGAAUUCCUGUUGGCUGGUGGAUAGCUUUUGAUCCUAAUCCUCCGGCUCCUUUCAUUGGUGGUUGUUUGGAAGCUCUUGAUAAUGCAUUCACAUGGGCACAAGCCUACAGCAUAAAGUGUAUAAUUGACCUUCAUGCGGCUUUGGGCUCCCAAAAUGGGAUGGAACACAGUGCUAGUAGAGAUGGCUCAACAGGCUGGCCUACAUCUCCAGAUUACAUCU
This is a non-coding RNA of Camellia sinensis, 405 nucleotides long. The record is from RefSeq and is a predicted model, not a curated record. Lineage: Eukaryota; Viridiplantae; Streptophyta; Magnoliopsida; Ericales; Theaceae.